Long non-coding RNA from Helianthus annuus (common sunflower), 1229 nucleotides. RefSeq lists it as uncharacterized. The record is from RefSeq and is a predicted model, not a curated record. Lineage: Eukaryota; Viridiplantae; Streptophyta; Magnoliopsida; Asterales; Asteraceae. The transcript has 4 exons.
CACCUUCACAACCAGCCGACACUCCCUCUUUCACUUUUUUUUUUCUCUGCACUUCACUUGGAGAAACCCUAACUCACCAUACAAACACUCCCUGUCUCUUCCUCAGCUCCGGUGACCGAGAUUCCGGUGCCCGCACCUCCGGCUACACCACGACCACCUCCUUCAUGUACCACACCACAACCACCCUCCUCCUCCUUCCCCAUAACACCCCUCCCACACCUCAACAUCCUGGAGAACGGGGAGAAAAAGAGUUAGAUCAAGAAAGAGAGGAGAGAAAGAGUGAAGAAGAAGGAGCUGCCGACGAUGUGCCGGCGGAGCACGACGGUGGCAAACGGCGGAACCGUCGGAUGACUUUCAGAAACGCCGCGCUCGACAGCGGCGACGAUGGUGGUAUUUAAAUUUCGGCAGCCGUGAGUUCUCAGAUGAUGAUAGGGUUGAACGACUGAAGUGGUGGUUGUGAUGCGACUGUAACGGCGGCAGUGGUGGUAUUUGGUUCAGAUGUUGGUUUGGGAGUCUCGGGUCAGAUUUUAAGUUUCGGGUGUUUCACUUCAAGUUGCGGGUUCAGAUUAUGUUUUGGGUUCGAGUGUUUCAACUCAGUGCGGGUCAAACCUGGUCAUCAUGGGUCGAAAUCUGGUCAACCGGGUCAGAAUCAUGAUGCGGGUCAACUCGGGUCAGCUACUGGUCAACACAAUCUACACGGUCGACGAGUCAACUCGGUCAAACCGAGUCAACUCAGUCAACCCGAGUCAAACCAGUCAACUCAGCCGACUCGGUCAAACCGAGUCAACUGGUCAACUCAGUCAAUGAAGCGUCACGAAGAUUGGAAUGUUAUAGAUUGCACACUAGCGAGUUUACGCGUUUGGAAACGACUUUAUGGAUAUAUUAAUCUAGCUUUGCACGAGGAUAUCGAGGUUUUGCCCUUUAUAGAGAAUUUUGUUACACGUUUUGUGAUGCCUGUCGUUAAGAACAUGCAAAAACCAACUAAACUAUGUAGAUAUGAUAAGUCGGAUAUCGAACCGGAGGAGGAUUGUGGAAAGUGUCGUUAUGUCAAGUGUUGAUCAACUAUUGUAGAAAAAGUAAAUCUUGUUUGUUUGAGAGUUCAUUAACUAGCAGAUUACGAAAAUACGAAGUUGUAAGAAAUGGGAGAGAACAAUGUUUCCUCCGGAUUUCAGAUUCAAAGUAAAUUCGGUUUGUGUUGGAUUGUUUACAAUUACAUAGACAUAACUGUA